This 518-nucleotide ribosomal RNA is filed under the name uncultured bacterium. RNAcentral describes it as "partial 16S ribosomal RNA". It matches the Rfam family "Bacterial small subunit ribosomal RNA", at positions 29 to 523 of the family's 1533-position model. The record is from RNAcentral.
AACGAACGCUGGCGGCGUGCCUAACACAUGCAAGUCGAACGGAAUUAGAGAGCUUGCUCUUUGAUUUAGUGGCGCACGGGUGAGUAACGCGUAGAUAAUCUGCCUGACGAUCUGGGAUAACACUUCGAAAGAGGUGCUAAUACCGGAUAAGCCCACGGGUUCUUUGGAAUCUGCGGGAAAAGGGGGGGACCUUCGGGCCUUCUGUCGUCAGAUGAGUCUGCGUACCAUUAGCUAGUUGGUAGGGUAAAGGCCUACCAAGGCGACGAUGGUUAGCUGGUCUGAGAGUAUGGUCAGCCCCACUGGAACUGAGACACGGUCAAGACGACUACGGGAGGCAGCAGGGGGGAAUUUUGCGCAAUGGGCGAAAGCCUGACGCAGCAACGCCGCGUGAGUGAUGAAGGCCUUCGGGUCGUAAAGCUCUGUCAAUGGGAAAGAAGUGUAUUUUGGCUAAUAUCCUUAAUACUUGACGGUACCCAUAAAGGAAGCACCGGCUAACUCCGUGCCAGCCGCCGCCGUAA